This 432-nucleotide ribosomal RNA is filed under the name uncultured bacterium. RNAcentral describes it as "bacterial SSU rRNA". It matches the Rfam family "Bacterial small subunit ribosomal RNA", at positions 99 to 518 of the family's 1533-position model. The record is from RNAcentral.
CGGACGGGUGAGUAACACGUGGACAAUCUCGCCCCCCGGCCCGGGAUAGCCCAGGGAAACCUGGAUUAAUACCGGAUGAGACGGGACCCGCGAAGGCGGGACCGGGAAGGCGCUGCGGCGCCGCCGGGGGAUGAGUCUGCGUCCCAUUAGCUAGACGGCGGGGUAACGGCCCACCGUGGCGACGAUGGGUAGCCGGCCUGAGAGGGUGGACGGCCACAUUGGAACUGAGACACGGUCCAGACUCCUACGGGAGGCAGCAGCUAAGAAUCUUCCGCAAUGGGCGAAAGCCUGACGGAGCGACGCCCGCGUGAACGAAGAAGGCCGUGAGGUUGUAAAGUUCUUUUCGGGAGGGGGAACAACCGUGGCAGGAAAUGGCCGCGGGAUGACGUGAAUCCCGGAAUAAGCCCCGGCUAACUACGUGCCAGCCGCUGC